ACCCCCCAGGAGGAACAGUUCAGGCCGGGCUUCGGUGUGUGUCCCUAUUUCUGCACCCCCACCCCCCCUGGGGGGGUUCCCCAGCCCCGGUGGCAUCGUGUUGGGGGGGACCGGCUGCCCCCCAGCCCCUCACCCCAGAGCCCGGGAUGCAGCAUCCCAGGGGCAGCCAGGGAAAUCUGCCCCCCGGCACCCCAGAGCAGCCGGGCUGGGAGCUGGGCACGCGUGUGUGUGUGUGUGUAUGUGUGUGUGUGCACCCACGUGUCGCAUCCCGGUCCCAGGAGGUCGGAUGGAUCCGAAGGUGCUGCCGCUGCCUCCCUGCCCCUCUCCGCUGCCCGGCGUCUGCCCCUUGAAGCUGCUGGUAAAAUAGAACUAACCACAAAUACGGUUCUUUCCUUCCCAGUUUGGGGGGUUAUUUCACGUUUCUGGCCAGGGGCAGCCCCCAUCGAAUUCCGAUUGCAGGGAAAUUCUGCAGCUUCCCCAGGGCCGAGCCUGGACCAAAACAAAAAUGCAAAAUACCACCUAAAAAAGUUGGUUUUUUUCAUUGCCUGGCCAGAGCCACAUCCCUGCGUGGGUGACCCCAUGCCGGGGGUCAGUGCCAGGAGGGGGAGACCCCCAUUUCCAUGGGGCGCUGUGUGUCCCGCACCCGGUCUGUGGGUGCUGUGCCAAAGGAAGGUGGCAGCUUUGCCCGCGGGUGCUCAGGGGGCUCCCCAAGGACCCCCCACAGUCGGGGUGUCCCCAGCAUCAGAGCCCAGCACUUGGGGGAACAGGGGGGUCGGGGACACCCUGGGAUGGGGUACCUGUAGUGCGGGGGCAUCCCCGGGAGCCGUCGGCAAACCCGCAGCGGGGCCGGGGCUCCGGGAGAGCCCUGAGAACUGGAACCAUGUCCUGUCAUCUGCCAAAUACCGAAUAAACUCAUCUCAUCCCUCGGGGGUGUCUCGUCCCUUCGCCCUGUGGAAAAAAAAAAAUAAAAAUGGCAGAGAUGCUCAUGGAAAAUGGGGGGGAAAUACCAUUUUUUUAACGGGAAGGGGCGCAGCGUGGGAGCAG
This 1044-nucleotide long non-coding RNA is filed under the name Calidris pugnax (ruff). Its description in RNAcentral is "lncRNA (ENSCPUG00000002652.1)". The record is from RNAcentral. Lineage: Eukaryota; Metazoa; Chordata; Aves; Charadriiformes; Scolopacidae.